UUUUUGGAUCCUUUUUACAGUUUCUAGGUGCCUCUUCUCCGAUUUCCAAGCCAUCGCUGCUAACAGCCGGCCGGUGAGACCCUCUUCAGACGCCGGCCCUGGGACUCGGGAAAGCGCCCUGAGCACACCUGGGAAUUCCGAGUGUGCGAGCCCAGCUCCCUUGCCUGGAGGCGGGACGAACACCAAAGCAUAAUUUACAUGCUAGCGCCCCGCCCCCGGGCCUGGUCCGGCCCUACCCGUGAGCGCCUUGCUCGUCUGCUUUUGAUUUCGUGUGCUGCCUUUCCCACUCCCUUAACUGGUCUCUUCUGGAAGCGCUGCCGUCCUAAAUCACCGGCACACAAAUCCUUGCCGUGGUGUCUUAGUGGCCUGAGAAGGGUUUACCCUGGAAAGUAUAAAUAGGAAGUGGGACAGCACUUUUGAAGACAGAGGAGUUCUAUCGUCACGCGCCCGUCUGUGAGGAAGAAGCCGAAGGGUCCGCAAAGCCCUUAGAGUUUGAAUUAGGUCACACCCAGCCGUACUGGCCAAUCCCUCGCUGUGACAAGUUGCAUGAAGUUGGACGUGUCAGAUGGAUUCCAAUCUUACGCCGAGCUGUGGGUUUUUUAAGAGAAUGCGUAUUAGUCAGGGUUUGGCCAGGAAAGCAGACGGCACUGUCCCCUUCAAAUGGGAACGGAUUUCGUUCUGGAGAUGAGGCGCUUAUAAAAACAGUUGGCAGAGCUGCAAGAGCAAAGGUUUAGGAAAGCCGAUAACAGCUCUCAGAUUUCCCCCUAACUUCCAGAGCAUCGGAAAGAGCGGUGAGCGGCGCACCGGCUUGCAAGACCAAGAGAUAGAGACUGCCAGCAAGAGAGGGAACACAAGCAGGGGGAGUGGGAGAGGAAGAAGCAGGCUCAUAGCGGAGGAGCCUGAUGUGGGGCUCGACCCAGAACGCCGGGAUCACGCCCUGAGCCGAAGGCAGACGCUUAACCGCUGUGCCACCCGGGCGCCCCACGCAGAGACAUUUAUUAAACAUGCAUUCGUUAGCAAGCGGGCACAAAAGUCCCUGCAGCCUGUUUCUAGGCCCGAGGAAGUCCCAGCUCUCAGCCUACUGCUUGCGUAAGAGGGCCACUCAAGGCCCAUGCAACAUUCUAGAAGUAUCAGGGAACCAGAAAUUCUCCAAAACUCAAGGUCGGACCAAAACCUCGGGUGCCAUCUCGCAGGUGCAGGCUAGAGGCCUUGCUAGCCUCAUCACCUCCUCACGUAUGGAACAUACGGAAAUCUGCAGAUCCUGAAUCCCUUGAAUUUCACCAAGAGCCUGUUUCUAACUUUCAUCGUGCUGUUGAACAAGCCACCAAUUUCAUCCAUGAAAACCCAUUUCUGACUCCAUUUUGCUCAUUAGCAGCACCUCAGGUAUUGAUGGAGCCCUUGUGAUCUUGCAUUUGGAUGCGGCCUUUCUGAGGCCAAGCUAACUGCUGAACUGGAGGGUUUUUUUUUGUUUUUUAAGAUUUUAUUUAUUUGACACAGAGGCAACACAAGCAGGGGGAGUGGGAGAAGAAGCAGGCUUCCCACUGAGCAGAGAGCCUGAUGUGGGGCUCGAUCCUAGAACGCCGGGAUAAUGACCUGAGCUGAAGGCAGAUGCUUAACGACUGAGCCACCCAGGUGCCCCUGGAGGGGGGAUUUUUGAUGGGGGGGAAAAGGCUGCUAACACUGACAUAAUAUCACAACGCUCAGGUUACAAGUAUUUCAAAAAUAAAAUGCAGACGUCGUAAGUUUGGGGUCUUUCAAACGCCAUUUAUUUAUUUAUUUACGAUUUUUUAAAAGUGGGCUCCACACCCAACGUAAGGCUCGAACUCAAGACCCUGAGAUCCAGAGUCACGGCUCUACUGACUGUGCCAGCCAGGCGCCCCAUAAUAAGUUCGUUUGUACCAGGCACUGCCAGGAUUUGGUGGUGGACCAGCAGCAGUCCUCACUCUGAAGAAGCUCGCAGCUUGGAGACAGAGGAUAAAAGAGGUUAAGAAACUUGCCCAGGGCUAGCGAUCUGGAACUUAAUCUCACCUCUGGCUUCAAGACCUGUGCCCUUUUACUAGUGCACAUCAUGCAGGGGGAGUGGCAGGCAGAGGGAGAAGCAGGCUCCCCACCGAGCAGGGAGCCCGAUGUGGGCCUCGAUCCCAGGACCCUGAGAUUACGAUCUGAGCCAAAGGCAGAUGCUUCACUGACUGAGCCGCCCAGGCGUAUAUCUUGCCUGUAUUUUCUCAGGAGCAGGGCUCUUAGCUCAACCACGUGUCUGCGAGGUUCCUCUGGUUGGCACAUGGGAGCCCACCUCGAGCACUGUCCCUACUCUUGGGGGUCCAUGGUAUGAAGAUACUUUACAAGAUGAAUUCUUUUCCUUGAAGUUCUCUUCCUGGUCACUGACUCAUACUGCUGGGCUCCCAAAGCCUUCGCCUGAAGAAAGAGGAAAUACCCUGAAAGGCUCUCUGGGUAAUUUAUGCUUAAACCACUUGUAAAGCCCUAGCAAGCAUCAUCUGUCUUAGGUCCCACCCAGGGUUGUCCCCAUCGGUCACACUCCUGGGGCCCACCCUGAUUGGCAGGGAAAUCACUGGGUGCAUGGCAGGUGCUGUGAGGGCCCAGGGCAGAGCUAGGGUUGGGGUCUGGCCUAGGUCAGGGGUAUUUUUGUCAAGGGACUCAAAAUUCGUACUAACCAAGACUCCAGGGGCCUGCAGACCCCAUGCUAAUGUGCAUGAAUAAAACAUGGCGUCCUCAAGCUCGAAAUAUCGCAAGUAUCCGCUCUGGAUUUGUUCUCACUUCACUGUGUGGGGCAGCAUCAUUCAGCUUCCCACGGCCGCUUUGGCACAAAGUACUUCAAGCGGUGUUAGAGCCUUUCUGGUGAAUAAAUACAUCCAAGCCAUCUACCACUCCUCUUUUUUGAUGAGAGCCGGGGAUGGGGAAGCAAGCGAACUUCUGCAUUUCAGCAUUUACGGCCUUUUGGGCAAAUAGAUUAGCAGUUGCUGGAACAUACAGGUGACCCAUGCCAUCGAGGUUAGAGGCAGUGAAACGUGGACUCUAGCUGCCAUGGUGUUUUCCGGUUUGUCUCUGCACUUCCCCACACCAGCCUCCAACAUGCCCCCAGUGAGUCCUGCCUCCUGGUGUGCCUCUCCCCAAGUCCGUCCUUCUACAGUGUGCCGAGUUGGUCUGUCUGGCCAAUGUGAGGGUGACAGAAACGAUGGGAUGGCCCUUAUGACUUAGGCUACAAAAGACACAGAGCCUUCCGUCUUACAUUCUCUCUGUCUCUCGUUUUCUGAGAUCGCUCGAUCCGAGGAAAGCCAGCUGCCACUGUCAGGAGGAUCUCUGUGGAGAGGCCCAUGUGGUGAGAAAGUGAGGCCUUUGGCCAACAGCCAGCAAGGCACUUGAGGCCUCCUGGCGACAGAUAUGUGAGUGAGUCCUCUCGGAAGCAGAUGUCCCAGCCCUGUUUGUGCUUUCAGAUGACUGCAGGCUCCAGCGGACACCUGCACUGCGACCCCAUGACAGACCCUGAGCCAGAACCACUCGGCUUCGCUGCUCCAUUCCCGGCCCUCAGAAACUGAGAGAUAAUAAAUGUUUGUUGUUUCAAGUCA
Long non-coding RNA from Ailuropoda melanoleuca (giant panda), 3584 nucleotides. RefSeq lists it as uncharacterized. The transcript is spliced from 10 exons. NCBI's taxonomy places the organism in Eukaryota, Metazoa, Chordata, Mammalia, Carnivora, Ursidae. The record is from RefSeq and is a predicted model, not a curated record.